AAGAUCCCUGAAAGAUGAUCAGGUUGAUAGGUCAGAGGUGGAAGCGUGGUGACAUGUGGAGCUGACUGAUACUAAUCGAUCGAGGACUUAACCAA
Molecule: ribosomal RNA, 95 nt
Filed under: Neobacillus cucumis
Lineage: Bacteria; Bacillati; Bacillota; Bacilli; Caryophanales; Bacillaceae
Description: partial 23S ribosomal RNA
Rfam family: Bacterial large subunit ribosomal RNA
Source: RNAcentral